RNAcentral lists this long non-coding RNA (1423 nucleotides) under Homo sapiens (human). RNAcentral's name for it is "long non-coding RNA NONHSAT180448.1". The record is from RNAcentral. Lineage: Eukaryota; Metazoa; Chordata; Mammalia; Primates; Hominidae.
AAACAGGACCCUAUCAAUGUGAAAUACGGGACCGAUAUGGUGGCCUCCGCAGUAACCCAGUCAUCCUAAAUGUCCUCUAUGGUCCAGACCUCCCCAGAAUUUACCCUUCAUUCACCUAUUACCGUUCAGGAGAAAACCUCGACUUGUCCUGCUUCACGGAAUCUAACCCACCGGCAGAGUAUUUUUGGACAAUUAAUGGGAAGUUUCAGCAAUCAGGACAAAAGCUCUUUAUCCCCCAAAUUACUAGAAAUCAUAGCGGGCUCUAUGCUUGCUCUGUUCAUAACUCAGCCACUGGCAAGGAAAUCUCCAAAUCCAUGACAGUCAAAGUCUCUGGUAAGUGGAUCCCAGCAUCCUUGGCAGUAGGGUUUUAUGUGGAGUCUAUCUGGCUUUCAGAGAAGAGUCAGGAAAACAUUUUUAUUCCCAGCCUGUGUCCCAUGGGCACAAGCAAAUCCCAAAUUCUCCUCCUGAACCCUCCCAAUUUGUCUCUACAGACUCUCUUCUCCUUGUUUUUCUGUUUUCUUAUGGCUGACCUUGUGUCUGGCCUGAAAAAGGUAGGGAGGGGGCUUUAUCAGCCCUGAGCCCUAUGUGGUAGAAGAGGCUUCAGAGAGGGACAAGAAGGAGAGUCCUCAAGAUCAAGUUGCUUCUCGCUGUCACCGACACAUCCCCUUCUGCCACGUCUUUUUUUUCUUGUACCUAUUCCAUGAGCUACAAGGGACAGCUGAGGCUUUGAAACAAGCUCACACUUUUCCCCCAGAUGAGAGGAGGAAGCCCCUUGGGUGAGGGAGGAGCAGCUCAGACUCUGCUUCCUGCUCUGCUCCGGGCUCCUCUGGUGACUGGCCCUGCCUCACUCAACCUGGGGUGGGACUAGCGUGUGUGUAGAAAGGGCCCUGGUGGCCUGUCCUGAAUUUGGCUAAAUUGAGCUGCCAGUUGAAGCCAAGCCUCCCCCGGGCCAGGCUGCAGGGAAAUAAGAAGAGAGGGAGCCUCAGGGCAGACUCCUGAGCUGCGUCCUGGCUCUGAAGUCACCAGCUGUAUGAGGCUUUGGGCACAGCACGUGGGACACAGCACGGAGGACAGUGACUGAUGCAGAGCUGGAGGAAUAGGGAGAUUCACCGUUGGGGUUAUUCAUGGCAGGAAAGGGGCAGUGCCAAAAAGUGUGUAAUUAUAGAGAGGGUAAGACUACCAGACACUUUAUAUAUAUCUAAUAUAAGACUUACCAUUAACUAUUUCUAUGUGUGCAAUUUAGUGUUGUGUAACCAUCACACUAUCCAUUUCCAGAACUUUUUCCUCUUACCAUAUUAAACCUCUGUACCCAAUAAACAGUAACUCUCACUCCUUCUUCCCCUAACCCUUAGCACCCAUCAUUCUACUUUGUCUCUAUGUAACUGGCUAUUCUAACUAUCUUUUAUAAAUGGAAUUACAUAAU